UGGGGAAUUUUGGACAAUGGGCGCAAGCCUGAUCCAGCCAUGCCGCGUGCGGGAAGAAGGCCUUCGGGUUGUAAACCGCUUUUGUCAGGGAAGAAAUCUUCUGAGUUAAUACCUCGGGAGGAUGACGGUACCUGAAGAAUAAGCACCGGCUAACUACGUGCCAGCAGCCGCGGUAAUACGUAGGGUGCAAGCGUUAAUCGGAAUUACUGGGCGUAAAGCGUGCGCAGGCGGUUUUGUAAGACAGAGGUGAAAUCCCCGGGCUCAACCUGGGAACUGCCUUUGUGACUGCAAGGCUUGAGUGCGGCAGAGGGGGAUGGAAUUCCGCGUGUAGCAGUGAAAUGCGUAGAUAUGCGGAGGAACACCGAUGGCGAAGGCAAUCCCCUGGGCCUGCACUGACGCUCAUGCACGAAAGCGUGGGGAGCAAACAGGAUUAGAUACCCUGGUAGUCCACGCCCUAAACGAUGUCAACUGGUUGUUGGGAAGGUUCCUUCUCAGUAACGUAGCUAACGAGUGAAGUUGACCGCCUGGGGAGUACGGCCGCAAGGUUG
This 548-nucleotide ribosomal RNA is filed under the name uncultured bacterium. RNAcentral describes it as "partial 16S ribosomal RNA". It matches the Rfam family "Bacterial small subunit ribosomal RNA", at positions 355 to 896 of the family's 1533-position model. The record is from RNAcentral.